UACGUAGGGUGCGAGCGUUGUCCGGAAUUAUUGGGCGUAAAGAGCUCGUAGGCGGUGUGUCGCGUCGGCCGUGAAAACCUGGGGCUCAACUCUGGGCGUGCGGUCGAUACGGGCAUCACUUGAGUUCGGCAGGGGAGACUGGAAUUCCUGGUGUAGCGGUGAAAUGCGCAGAUAUCAGGAGGAACACCGAUGGCGAAGGCAGGUCUCUGGGCAUUAACUGACGCUGAGACACGAAAGCGUGGGUAGCAAACAGG
RNAcentral lists this ribosomal RNA (254 nucleotides) under uncultured bacterium. RNAcentral describes it as "partial 16S ribosomal RNA". It matches the Rfam family "Bacterial small subunit ribosomal RNA", at positions 524 to 776 of the family's 1533-position model. The record is from RNAcentral.